RNAcentral lists this ribosomal RNA (119 nucleotides) under Petromyzon marinus (sea lamprey). The record is from RNAcentral. Lineage: Eukaryota; Metazoa; Chordata; Hyperoartia; Petromyzontiformes; Petromyzontidae.
ACCUAAGACUAAAUUACCCUGAAUGUGCCUGAUCACUAAGAUCUCAGAAGAUAAGCUAAGUUAAGGCUGGUUAGUACUUAGGUGGGAGACUUACUCGGAAUAACAGGUGUUUGUAGGCU